Molecule: ribosomal RNA, 881 nt
Filed under: Nephroselmis sp. KGE1
Lineage: Eukaryota; Viridiplantae; Chlorophyta; Nephroselmidophyceae; Nephroselmidales; Nephroselmidaceae
Description: eukaryotic LSU rRNA
Rfam family: Eukaryotic large subunit ribosomal RNA
Source: RNAcentral
AGCGGAGGAAAAGAAACUAACAAGGAUUCCCCUAGUAACGGCGAGCGAACCGGGAAGAGCCCAACUUGAAAAUCUGGCAGCUUCGCUGUCCGAAUUGUAGUCUAAAGAAGCGUCCUCUGUAGCGGACCGGGCCCAAGUUCCCUGGAAUGGGACGUCAGAGAGGGUGAGAGCCCCGUCGACCCCGGACCCUGCUACUCCACGAGGCGCUGUCGCCGAGUCGGGUUGUUUGGGAAUGCAGCCCUAAAUGGGUGGUAAAUUCCAUCUAAGGCUAAAUACUGGCGAGAGACCGAUAGCGAACAAGUACCGCGAGGGAAAGAUGAAAAGAACUUUGAAAAGAGAGUUAAAAGUGCUUGAAAUUGUUGAGGGGGAAGCGAAUGGAAGCAGAGGUGCGCCUCGGUUUUAUGUGGGGGUUCGCGCCCCCGCCUAUCAACGCGAGGCGCUGGUCAGCGUGGGUUAGCCUGGCGGGAAAAAAGCAGGGGUUGUUACCCUGUCCAUAUCGCCGGGCUGACCGAGGUCUGAAGGGCGCGCUUCGGCGAGCUUCGGCAUCUGCGCCCUCAGGACGCUGGCUUAAUGCUUCCAUCCGGCCCGUCUUGAAACACGGACCAAGGAGUCUAACAUGUAUGCGAGCCGGUGGGUGGCAAACCCAUGAGGCGCAAGUAACCUGAUUGGUGGGAUUCCUUUUGGAUGCACCAUCGACCGACCAUGAUCUUCUGUGAAAGGUUUGAGUAGGAGUAUACCUGUUGGGACCCGAAAGAUGGUGAACUAUGCCUGAGCAGGGCGAAGCCAGAGGAAACUCUGGUGGAGGCUCGUAGCGAUACUGACGUGCAAAUCGUUCGUCAGACUUGGGUAUAGGGGCGAAAGACUAAUCGAACCUUCUAGUA